This 433-nucleotide ribosomal RNA is filed under the name uncultured bacterium. Its description in RNAcentral is "partial 16S ribosomal RNA". It matches the Rfam family "Bacterial small subunit ribosomal RNA", at positions 29 to 507 of the family's 1533-position model. The record is from RNAcentral.
AACGAACGCUGGCGGCAUGCCUAACACAUGCAAGUCGAACGAGACCUUCGGGUCUAGUGGCGCACGGGUGCGUAACGCGUGGGAACCUGCCCUUAGGUUCGGAAUAACUCCCCGAAAGGGGUGCUAAUACCGGAUUAUGUCUUCGGACCAAAGAUUUAUCGCCUUUGGAUGGGCCCGCGUUGGAUUAGCUAGUUGGUAGGGUAAAAGCCUACCAAGGCGACGAUCCAUAGCUGGUCUGAGAGGAUGAUCAGCCACACUGGGACUGAGACACGGCCCAGACUCCUACGAGAGGCAGCAGUGGGGAAUAUUGGACAAUGGGCGAAAGCCUGAUCCAGCAAUGCCGCGUGAGUGAUGAAGGCCUUAGGGUUGUAAAGCUCUUUUACCCGGGAUGAUAAUGACAGUACCGGGAGAAUAAGCUCCGGCUAACUCCGUG